RNAcentral lists this ribosomal RNA (497 nucleotides) under uncultured bacterium. RNAcentral's name for it is "partial 16S ribosomal RNA". It matches the Rfam family "Bacterial small subunit ribosomal RNA", at positions 28 to 507 of the family's 1533-position model. The record is from RNAcentral.
GAUGAACGCUGGCGGCGUGCCUAAUACAUGCAAGUCGAGCGAACAGACGAGGAGCUUGCUCCUCUGACGUUAGCGGCGGACGGGUGAGUAACACGUGGAUAACCUACCUAUAAGACUGGGAUAACUUCGGGAAACCGGAGCUAAUACCGGAUAAUAUAUUGAACCGCAUGGUUCAAUAGUGAAAGACGGUUUUGCUGUCACUUAUAGAUGGAUCCGCGCCGCAUUAGCUAGUUGGUAAGGUAAAGGCUUACCAAGGCAACGAUGCGUAGCCGACCUGAGAGGGUGAUCGGCCACACUGGAACUGAGACACGGUCCAGACUCCUACGGGAGGCAGCAGUAGGGAAUCUUCCGCAAUGGGAGAAAGCCUGACGGAGCAACGCCGCGUGAGUGAUGAAGGUCUUCGGAUCGUAAAACUCUGUUAUUAGGGAAGAACAAAUGUGUAAGUAACUAUGCACGUCUUGACGGUACCUAAUCAGAAAGCCACGGCUAACUACGUG